ACGGGUGAGUAAUGCGUAGGAAUUUACCUCAAGCGGGGGAUAGCCCGGAGAAAUCCGGAUUAAUACCGCAUGUGCUCUACGGAGUAAAGCGGGCCUCUUCUUGAAAGCUCGCACUUCGAGAUAAGCCUACGUCGGAUUAGCUUGUUGGUAGGGUAAAAGCCUACCAAGGCGACGAUCCGUAGCUGGUCUGAGAGGACGAUCAGCCACACUGGGACUGAGACACGGCCCAG
This 230-nucleotide ribosomal RNA is filed under the name uncultured bacterium. Its description in RNAcentral is "partial 16S ribosomal RNA". It matches the Rfam family "Bacterial small subunit ribosomal RNA", at positions 102 to 334 of the family's 1533-position model. The record is from RNAcentral.